CUGUCCUACGGGGGGCAGCAGUGGGGAAUAUUGGGCAAUGGGCGCAAGCCUGACCCAGCAAUGCCGCGUGAAGGAAGAAGGCCUUCGGGUUGUAAACUUCUUUUAUCAGGGACGAAGGAUGUGACGGUACCUGAUGAAUAAGCUCCGGCUAACUACGUGCCAGCAGCCGCGGUAAUACGUAGGGAGCAAGCGUUAUCCGGAUUUACUUGGCGUAAAGGGCGCGUAGGCGGGAUGGCAAGUCAGAUGUGAUAUCUAAGGGCUCAACCCUUGAACUGCAUUUGAAACUGUCGUUUUUAAGUACUGGG
Molecule: ribosomal RNA, 305 nt
Filed under: uncultured bacterium
Lineage: Bacteria
Description: bacterial SSU rRNA
Rfam family: Bacterial small subunit ribosomal RNA
Source: RNAcentral